This 2022-nucleotide ribosomal RNA is filed under the name Triticum aestivum (bread wheat). RNAcentral describes it as "partial small subunit ribosomal RNA". Lineage: Eukaryota; Viridiplantae; Streptophyta; Magnoliopsida; Poales; Poaceae. The record is from RNAcentral.
AUGCGCCCUUCUCCCACCUGCGCCGCCGCCGCCGCCUCGCUCUCCAGGCAGCAACUCCUCCGCAUCCAGCGCUGUCUCCCACCCGUUUGGAGAAACGCCGCACCUGCCCAAGAACCGCCGCCGCCGCCCGCCUCGUCCUUCUCCCCCUCCUCCCUCGCCUCCAUCCUCUUCUCCUGCGCCGCGCACCGCGCGCUCCGCCCCGGCGAGCAGGUCCAUGCGCGCGCAUUCACGCUCGGCCUGGGCGCGCAUCCUUCCGUCCUCCCCAGGAUCGCCUCCUUGUACAUAGCCGUCGGCGACAUCCCGGCCGCGCGUUCUGCCGUCGAGCAGGCGGCUGGGAAGGCGCGAGCUUUCCCCUGGAACCUGCUCAUAUGGAGCUACGCCGGCGACAGGCUGUGGAAAGACGUGGUCAUGGCGUAUGACAGGAUGCUGGCGCUGGGCGUGGACGCCGACAGGUACACGUAUCCGUCUCUGCUGCGCGCUUGCGGCGAGCUCGGAGAGGUCACCAUUGGCCGCAAAAUUGACCACCGUAUUCGGAGGAGUAGAUAUGAUCUGGACAUGUAUGUCUGGAACGCUUUGGUCGGGAUGUAUGUCAAGUGCGGGGAGCUAGAGGAUGCGCGGAGGGUGUUUGAUGAAAUGUCUGUCAGGGAUGUUGUCAGCUGGAACACAAUGGUGUCUGGCUAUGCAUCGGCGGGGAUGUGGGCCGAGGCGUUUCAGCUGCUUCAGCGGGUUCCUGGGGAAAACAUUGUGACGUGGAAUGCAGUUGCAGCAGGGAAUUUGAAGGCAGGGAACUAUGAUGAAGUGAUCAGGUUGUUGUCUCAGACGAGGAAUCGCCACGGGCCAGGGGUGGACUCUGUGAGCGUGCUGAUUGGCCUCAAGGCGUGUGCUAAGAGUGGGUAUCUGAGGAUUGGCAGGGAGUUGCAUGGGGUGGCUGUUCGUCUAUACUUCGACAGGCUCGAGUGUGUGGUAAACUCGUUGAUAACAAUGUAUUCAAGAUGCAGGAUGAUGAGCUCUGCUGUACUUCUGUUUACAGUGUACUCAAUUCGGAGCAUCACAGCUUGGAAUUCAUUGUUAGCAGGAUUUGCAUUCAUGGACCAGGUUGAGGAAGCUUCUUUGCUCUUCAGAGAGAUGAUUGGCUCAGGUGUCUGUCCCAGUGAUGUUACUGUCUUGACAAUGCUCUCCGUUGUUGCUCGGUUUGGACACCUCUGUCAUGGAAGGGAGCUGCACUGCUACAUCCUUAGACAUGGAUUGGGUGGUUCUAAAUUAUUGCAAAACUCACUUGUCGACAUGUACUCAAAGUCUAGACACAUGAGAGCUUCACGGAUAGUAUUUGAUCAGAUGGAAUGUCGAGACAAGCAUGCCUACACUUCAUUGAUUUUGGGAUAUGGAAUGCAAAGAGAGGGCCAUCUAUCACUGAAGCUCUUUGAUGAAAUGAUCGCCAACAGUAUAGAGCCCGACCAUGUAACCAUGGUUGCUGUUCUUUCAGCAUGUAGCUACUCUGGACUGGUCACUCAAGGGCAGCUACUAUUUGCCAAUAUGUUUGCUGUGUUUGGUAUUGCACCAAGAGUGGAGCAUUUUUCUUGCAUGGUUGAUUUGUACAGCCGUGAAGGUUUGCUGAAGGUGUCCGAGGAGAUAAUUGACAAGAUGCCGUUCCAGCCAACUGCUGCAAUGUUAGCGACUCUUAUUGAGGCUUGCCUGACCCAUGGUAAUACAGAAAUUGGCAAACGAACUGCAAAGAAGCUGCUGGCAAUGAGGACAAACAAUCCUGGUCACUACAAAUUGAUCUCAAACACGUAUAUAUCAGCAAAAUGUUGGCCAGAGCUAGCUAAAGUUAGAUCAUUGAUGAGUAUGAUGGAUUUAACUAUGGUUCCAAGCCAUUCCUUGCUAGAAUCAGAAUAUGACAUAUGCCUAGUUGAGCAAGAUGAUGGCUUAAAUCAUGGUGCACAUUGUGACUUGUCUGACCGCAUAACGGAUACUGAUUCGUCUAGUAGUGAGGAAGUGAAAAGCAGCGAAGCUUUUGGUGGA